RNAcentral lists this ribosomal RNA (1110 nucleotides) under Salmonella enterica subsp. enterica serovar Newport. Its description in RNAcentral is "partial 23S ribosomal RNA". It matches the Rfam family "Bacterial large subunit ribosomal RNA", at positions 41 to 1190 of the family's 2925-position model. Lineage: Bacteria; Pseudomonadati; Pseudomonadota; Gammaproteobacteria; Enterobacterales; Enterobacteriaceae. The record is from RNAcentral.
CAGAGGCGAUGAAGGACGUGCUAAUCUGCGAUAAGCGCCGGUAAGGUGAUAUGAACCGUUAUAACCGGCGAUUUCCGAAUGGGGAAACCCAGUGUGAUUCGUCACACUAUCAUUAACUGAAUCCAUAGGUUAAUGAGGCGAACCGGGGGAACUGAAACAUCUAAGUACCCCGAGGAAAAGAAAUCAACCGAGAUUCCCCCAGUAGCGGCGAGCGAACGGGGAGGAGCCCAGAGCCUGAAUCAGCAUGUGUGUUAGUGGAAGCGUCUGGAAAGGCGCGCGAUACAGGGUGACAGCCCCGUACACAAAAGCGCAUGUGCUGUGAGCUCGAUGAGUAGGGCGGGACACGUGGUAUCCUGUCUGAAUAUGGGGGGACCAUCCUCCAAGGCUAAAUACUCCUGACUGACCGAUAGUGAACCAGUACCGUGAGGGAAAGGCGAAAAGAACCCCGGCGAGGGGAGUGAAAAAGAACCUGAAACCGUGUACGUACAAGCAGUGGGAGCACAGGUUUACCUGUGUGACUGCGUACCUUUUGUAUAAUGGGUCAGCGACUUAUAUUCUGUAGCAAGGUUAACCGUAUAGGGGAGCCGUAGGGAAACCGAGUCUUAACCGGGCGUUAAGUUGCAGGGUAUAGACCCGAAACCCGGUGAUCUAGCCAUGGGCAGGUUGAAGGUUGGGUAACACUAACUGGAGGACCGAACCGACUAAUGUUGAAAAAUUAGCGGAUGACCUGUGGCUGGGGGUGAAAGGCCAAUCAAACCGGGAGAUAGCUGGUUCUCCCCGAAAGCUAUUUAGGUAGCGCCUCGUGAAUUCAUCUCCGGGGGUAGAGCACUGUUUCGGCUAGGGGGCCAUCCCGGCUUACCAACCCGAUGCAAACUGCGAAUACCGGAGAAUGUUAUCACGGGAGACACACGGCGGGUGCUAACGUCCGUCGUGAAGAGGGAAACAACCCAGACCGCCAGCUAAGGUCCCAAAGUCAUGGUUAAGUGGGAAACGAUGUGGGAAGGCCCAGACAGCCAGGAUGUUGGCUUAGAAGCAGCCAUCAUUUAAAGAAAGCGUAAUAGCUCACUGGUCGAGUCGGCCUGCGCGGAAGAUGUAACGGGGCUAAACCAU